GAGCGGCGGACGGGUGAGUAACGCGUGGGUAACCUGCCUCAUACAGGGGGAUAACAGUUAGAAAUGGCUGCUAAUACCGCAUAAGACCACAGUACUGCAUGGUACAGUGGUAAAAACUCCGGUGGUAUGAGAUGGACCCGCGUCUGAUUAGGUAGUUGGUGAGGUAACGGCCUACCAAGGCGACGAUCCAUAGCCGGCCUGAGAGGGUGAACGGCCACAUUGGGACUGAGACACGGCCCAGACUCCUACGGGAGGCAGCAGUGGGGAAUAUUGCACAAUGGGGGAAACCCUGAUGCAGCGACGCCGCGUGAAGGAAGAAGUAUCUCGGUAUGUAAACUUCUAUCAGCAGGGAAGAUAAUGACGGUACCUGACUAAGAAGCCCCGGCUAACUACGUGCCAGCAGCCGCGGUAAUACGUAGGGGGCAAGCGUUAUCCGGAUUUACUGGGUGUAAAGGGAGCGUAGACGGCGCAGCAAGUCUGAUGUGAAAGGCAGGGGCUUAACCCCUGGACUGCAUUGGAAACUGCUGUGCUUGAGUGCCGGAGGGGUAAGCGGAAUUCCUAGUGUAGCGGUGAAAUGCGUAGAUAUUAGGAGGAAC
This 596-nucleotide ribosomal RNA is filed under the name uncultured Lachnospiraceae bacterium. RNAcentral describes it as "bacterial SSU rRNA". It matches the Rfam family "Bacterial small subunit ribosomal RNA", at positions 93 to 707 of the family's 1533-position model. The record is from RNAcentral. Lineage: Bacteria; Bacillati; Bacillota; Clostridia; Lachnospirales; Lachnospiraceae.